This is a non-coding RNA of Lonchura striata (white-rumped munia), 367 nucleotides long. The record is from RefSeq and is a predicted model, not a curated record. NCBI's taxonomy places the organism in Eukaryota, Metazoa, Chordata, Aves, Passeriformes, Estrildidae.
UAGGACCAGCACUGCCAUACAGACUCUCCUGAGAGGCUCCUGAUGGAAGGAGUCUGGCACAGGCCUGCUGGUCUCUGAAAUGACCUUCUAGGUGUGAAGAGUGUCCAAAAGGGUUUCCUGUCUUCCAAGAUGAAAAUUUUUGCAGCAAGGUGAAAGUCAGUGGCAUCAUUUAUUGCUCAUUCCUGGCUCUCAGCAACACCCAGUUUGGCUGUCGGGGAAGCCACAUGUAAACACUUUGUCAAAGUGCACUGUCUGUCCCUUUCAGCAGUCACUUGGGAAGGGAAAGGGAGUCUGACACUGUGUCUGCUGCUCUCCCUUGUUUGGAAGAAUUAGUUCUUUGUAAAUAAAAGCCUAUGCUUUUUCCUGC